RNAcentral lists this ribosomal RNA (1094 nucleotides) under Acrossocheilus yunnanensis. RNAcentral describes it as "partial large subunit ribosomal RNA". The stretch from base 165 to 1073 matches the Rfam family "Bacterial large subunit ribosomal RNA", at positions 568 to 2044 of the family's 2925-position model. The record is from RNAcentral. Lineage: Eukaryota; Metazoa; Chordata; Actinopteri; Cypriniformes; Cyprinidae.
UCCAAUAAUUAAACAAUAUAAAUAAACAAAGUAAGCCUAACACCAAAAACUAAACCAUUCUUUUACCUGAGUAUGGGAGACAGAAAAGGUCCCACCAAAGCAAUAGAAACAGUACCGCAAGGGAAAGCUGAAAGAGAAAUGAAACAACCCAUAUAAGCACAAAAAAGCAAAGAUUAAAUCUUGUACCUUUUGCAUCAUGAUUUAGCCAGUACACCCAAGCAAAGAGACCUUUAGUUUGAAACCCCGAAACCAGGUGAGCUACCCCGAGACAGCCUAUUAAGGGCCAACCCGUCUCUGUGGCAAAAGAGUGGGAAGAGCUCCGGGUAGAAGUGACAGACCUACCGAACCUGGUGAUAGCUGGUUGCCUAAGAGAUGAAUAGAAGUUCAGCCUCGUACUCCCCAAAUCAAAGCACAAACAAGACAUUGAGAGAAAUACACGAGAGUUAGUUAAAGGGGGUACAGCCCCUUUAACAAAGGACACAACCUUUCCAGGAGGAUAAAGAUCAUAAUACAUAAAACACACCGUUCUAGUGGGCCUAAAAGCAGCCACCUAAACAGAAAGCGUUAAAGCUCAGACAGAAAAAAGUUUAUUAUCCUGACAAAAAAUCUUACUCCCCUAACUACUAUUAGGCCAACCCAUGCCUACAUGGAAGAGACUAUGCUAAAAUGAGUAACAAGAAGGCCCGCCCUUCUCCAAGCACAAGUGUAAGCCAAACCGGACCAACCAUUGGCAACUAACGAACUCAACCCCAGAGAGCAAUGUGAACUACAAAAAGACCAAGAAAAACCCACAACUUAACUAUCGUUACCCCCACACUGGAGUGCCAUUUAAAGGAAAGACUAAAAGAAAGGGAAGGAACUCGGCAAACACAAGCCUCGCCUGUUUACCAAAAACAUCGCCUCCUGCAACACAGCCAAGUAUAGGAGGUCCAGCCUGCCCAGUGACCACAAGUUUAACGGCCGCGGUAUCCUGACCGUGCAAAGGUAGCGCAAUCACUUGUCUUUUAAAUAGAGACCUGUAUGAAUGGCCAAACGAGGGCUUAACUGUCUCCCCUUUCAAGUCAGUGAAAUUGAUCUACCCGUGCAGAAGCGGU